RNAcentral lists this unclassified non-coding RNA (376 nucleotides) under soil metagenome. RNAcentral's name for it is "partial contains 5.8S ribosomal RNA, internal transcribed spacer 2, and large subunit ribosomal RNA". The stretch from base 1 to 120 matches the Rfam family "5.8S ribosomal RNA", at positions 35 to 154 of the family's 154-position model. The record is from RNAcentral.
GAUGAAGAACGUAGCGAAAUGCGAUAAGUAAUGUGAAUUGCAGAAUUCAGUGAAUCAUCGAAUCUUUGAACGCAUCUUGCGCUCCUUGGUAUUCUGAGGAGCAUGCCUGUUUGAGUGUCAUUAAAUUCUCAACUACACUGACUUUGAAUUGGUGUGGCUUGGAUUUGGGGGGAAAAUUGUUGUGGGCUUUUUGUAUAGUCUGCUCCCCUGAAUUUGAUUAGCGGUACCUUUGUGGAACUGUCUACAGGUGUGAUAAUUAUCUACAUCUUAGACAUCUGCUGGAAUGCUGCUUUCUAAACCUUACUUGUAUUGACAAUCUUGACCUCAAAUCAGGUAGGACUACCCGCUGAACUUAAGCAUAUCAAUAAGCGGAGGA